Molecule: ribosomal RNA, 253 nt
Filed under: uncultured Actinomycetales bacterium
Lineage: Bacteria; Bacillati; Actinomycetota; Actinomycetes; Actinomycetales
Description: partial 16S ribosomal RNA
Rfam family: Bacterial small subunit ribosomal RNA
Source: RNAcentral
UUUUCGGAGGUACUCGAGUGGCGAACGGGUGAGUAACACGUGGGUGAUCUGCCCUGCACUCUGGGAUAAGCCUGGGAAACUGGGUCUAAUACCGGAUAGGACCGCACUUUAGUGUGUGUGGUGGAAAGUUUUUUCGGUGUAGGAUGAGCCCGCGGCCUAUCAGCUUGUUGGUGGGGUAAUGGCCUACCAAGGCGGCGACGGGUAGCCGGACUGAGAGGUUGGUCGGCCACAUUGGGACUGAGAUACGGCCCAG